RNAcentral lists this small RNA (62 nucleotides) under Klebsiella pneumoniae. Its description in RNAcentral is "putative aminoglycoside riboswitch / attI site". It matches the Rfam family "putative aminoglycoside riboswitch / attI site", at positions 1 to 63 of the family's 75-position model. From Rfam's summary of the family: Conserved RNA structure found upstream of the bacterial aminoglycosides antibiotic-resistant genes: aminoglycoside acetyl transferase (AAC) and aminoglycoside adenyl transferase (AAD). It has putative short open reading frame (ORF) that encode leader peptide upstream of the resistance gene. The record is from RNAcentral. Lineage: Bacteria; Pseudomonadati; Pseudomonadota; Gammaproteobacteria; Enterobacterales; Enterobacteriaceae. RNAcentral also lists the same sequence under 3 other names.
GGAGCAGCAACGAUGUUACGCAGCAGGGCAGUCGCCCUAAAACAAAGUUAACCUCUGAGGAA